ACGUAGGGGGCAAGCGUUGUCCGGAAUGACUGGGCGUAAAGGGCGUGUAGGCGGCCGAUUAAGUCUGGAGUGAAAGUCCUGCUUUCAAGGUGGGAAUUGCUUUGGAGACUGGUUGGCUUGAGUGCGGAAGAGGAAAGUGGAAUUCCCAGUGUAGCGGUUGAAUGCGUAGAGAUUGGGAGGAACACCAGUUGCGAAGGCGACUUACUGGUCCAUAUCUCACGCUGAUCCGCGAAAGCGUGUUGAACUAACAG
This 251-nucleotide ribosomal RNA is filed under the name uncultured prokaryote. RNAcentral's name for it is "partial 16S rRNA". It matches the Rfam family "Bacterial small subunit ribosomal RNA", at positions 525 to 775 of the family's 1533-position model. The record is from RNAcentral.